AGUUAACGCUGGCAGUGUGCAUAAUACAUGCAAGUCGAGCGGAAUACCUUGCGUCGCAAGAUGUGAGGUGUUCAGCGGCAGACGGGUGAGUAACACGUGAGAAAUCUGCCUUUAAGCGGAGGAUAACCCAUCGAAAGGUGGGCUAAUACUCCAUACUAUCCCUAGAGGACAUCCUCAGGGGAUGAAAGCCCCGCAAGGGGCGCUUAGAGAGGAUCUUGCGGCCUAUCAGCUAGUUGGCGGGGUAAUGGCCACCAAGGCGACGACGGGUAGCCGGACUGAAAGGUCGAACGGUCACAGGGGCACUGAGACACGGGCCCCGACUCCUACGGGAGGCAGCAGAGGGAAUUUUGGACAUGGCGAAGCCUGAUCCAGCAACACU
Molecule: ribosomal RNA, 379 nt
Filed under: uncultured bacterium
Lineage: Bacteria
Description: partial 16S ribosomal RNA
Rfam family: Bacterial small subunit ribosomal RNA
Source: RNAcentral